AUGUACAUUCUUAGCUGAUGAUCAACGUGCUUUAGUAAUCACUGCAAACAGCACUUUUUGAGCUCCCUUUAUUGGCCUAAGAAUAGUCUUAGACGCAUAGUGUUAGGAAAUAUGUUAUUGAGGGUAGAAUAGUCAUUUUAUGUUUAGAGAGUUUGCUCAAAUAUAUAUAAAAGAAAUUAUUACCUUAAACAUGGUAUCAAAGCCUAUAGAAAAACGUUCAUCCCUUGAGGUCAUCGGAGCAACUGCCGUCGCCGUCGGCAGAACCUUAGUGUGCGAUUCUCUUCACCCACUCACUUCCACUGACUCCUCCAUCUCGUUACAGGCCUGCGACCACUCUGUCGUCUUUGCCAAGCCUCGAUUCGGCCUCGUCCAUCGUUGGCCAUCUCGGUCAAGCCUCAAUUCGUCGCAAUCGAGUCAACAUUGCUAUGCGAGUUGCUAUCCUAGGGUUUCUAAAGCUGCCAACUACUCAGCCUUCCUUCGAUUGACACUGUAAAUAUUGCUGAAGCCGCCGCUGAAGCAGCCUAGGUCGAAACUAGGGUCAAUUGCUAGGGUUUGAAGCGAAGCUAUAAAAAAAUUUGUUGUCCAGUGCUCUCAUACGGUUUCUUGUUGCAUCCUAUUGAUCCUUGAAGUGUUAGAUGGUUUGUGGUAAUUUUUCGAUACCAAUUCGAUGAUUUUAUCAGUUUUCGAUAAAUUCUUGUGAUUAGUGGUGAUUCAAUUGAACCCUCAUUUGUGGUGAUUAUUUUAUGGUUGAUUAUGUUAGUGGAGUUAAGUGAUUGGUUAUUGUGACGUUGUUCUUGGGUUCAAUCGUAUACUUUGUUCACUGAUGGCUGUUCCUCGAUCCUCUGCUAGUUUGACACAUUCUCAAUUGACCUCUGUCAAGUUGGAUGGAACUAAUUAUCCAUUUUGGUCUAAAGCUGUCAAAGUUUAUCUUACUGCCACCAACCAGCAUGAUUAUCUCAAGUCUAUGGUCCCCUUAGAUCAGAGUAAGGAAGCUGAUUGGAUUGCUGGACAUGCAAUGAUCCAUACUCUUUUAUGGAAUAGUAUGGAUCCUAAAAUUAGUCCUCACUUCGUUUGGUGCAACUCUGCCAAGGAAGUUUGGGAAAAGUGUGCCUUACUUUAUUUUGGAUAGAAUAAUAUGACACGAGUGUGUGACACGUUGGAGGCACUAUUUGAUCUUCAGCGUGGAGAUCGGUCUUUAUCUGAGUAUUAUGCUUGUUUCAUGAAACUUUGUCGGCCAUUGGAUACUUAUCUUCCAUUUUCGGACGAUCCGACUAUUCUAGUCAAACGCCAAGAGGAUCUUCAAGUUAUAUUGUUUCUCAAGGCAAUGGGACAUGAAUAUUCCUCCCUUAACCAUAUUAUAUCUUAGAGCUCCCUUCCUACAGUGAAUGAGGUUUUCUCCCAAGCACUUCAUUUGAUAUCUGCUGAAAAAAUUUCCAUCACGACUUUGGAGAUAAGUGCUAUGAAUUCUCAUGGCUCUAGUGGACAUGGAAUCCUCAGUCAUGGUUGCCGGAGUCGUGGAUGCGGUUUUGCUCAGAGUGGAGGUUGUAGAGGUUGUGAUGGAGGCAUUGGUGGUCGUGGCUCUCCCUAUUGUAAUCAUUGUCAAAGGGCAAGACAUACAAAGGCUUAUUGCUACACCCUUCAUCCCGAGUUUUUUCCUACUCUUGCUACCUAUGUAGAGGUGGAAGAGUCUCCCUCACUGGCUCCACCAAUUUCUACUAGUGUGUAGAAUACAGGUGAUUCUGUUACAUUGGCACGUGCUGAGUAUGAUGCAUGGGUUCGCUCCCAACAUGUGAUAGGCUCUUCACCUCCUACUGCAACUCAGGCAUAAACCUCAAAAGGUAAUUCGUCUUGUUUACUUUUUGUAGCGUCCGACUUAUGGGUUAUAGACUUUGGAGCUACUCAUCAUUUUACUGGAUAUCAGGACUAGACAGAUGAUUGGUGGGGGACAUGAAUCAAAUGGUCUUAACUACCUUGACAAGAAGGUACUAACUGCUGCAGUUGUGAAGUAUAAUGAUGUGAAUCGGAUGCAUUGUCGUGCUGAUCAUCCGCCACCGGACAUUCUUCGGUGUUUAUUUUCUGAGACUGAGUCAGUGAGUUCUUUUCAGUAUGAAGCUUGUUAGUUUGGUAGACACCAUAGGGUCUCUUUUUCUUCUCGCAUUCAAAAUCGUGUCUAGUCCAUUUAAGCUGGUUCACUUAGAUAUAUGGGGUCCGUGUCAUGUUUCUGAUUUCUUUAGUUUAAGAUAUUUUGUUACAUUUGUGGAUUAUUUUUCCCGAAUGACUUGGUUGUUUUUUAUAAAAGACUAUACUGAGAUUUUUCAUUGCUUUUGCGUAUUCUAUUUUGAAGUGUUGAAUCAGUAUCAUACUUCUGUCAAAACUUUGUGAUUAGAUAAUGCCAAAGAGUAUCUUGCCACCACUUCUGGUUUUAAACCUUUUCUUGAUUCUCAUGGUAUUAUUCAUUAGGCUUUCUGCUCAUACACUCUACAGUAAAAAGGUGUAACGAAAAAAUCGACAUCUUCUUGAUGUUACUCAUUGCCUCAUGUUUUACAUGCAUCUACCUAAAACUUUUUGCGGCCAUACUAUCCUUACAGCCUGCUAUUUAAUUAAUUGGCUUCUAACUGAUGUUUUUCAAGGGUGACGUCGUUCUCUAUUUUACAUCCAAAUUGUCCUCCCUUUCCCCUCUACGAAUCUUUGGUUGUGAUUGUUUUGUACAUUGUCUUACUCUAGGUCUUGAUAAGUUGGAUUAUCGUGUUGAGAGAUGUGUGUUUGUAGGAUACUCUCGAACUCAGAAGGGCUACAAAUGUUAUAGUCCUACUUGUCGUCGUGUGUUCGUGUCGGCGGAUGUGACAUUCUUUGAGGACCAAACAUAUUAUAAUGCUCAGAUGGUCCCUACGGCGAAUCCUAAUGGUGACGGGUGUGUCUUACUGACAUUCCACAACUCUCACUUCCUCCAGCACCGUCCAGAGGAUUUCAGUGUGCUGACUUACCUAUCAUCGGUAUGGUGCAGUUCUCAAUACAAUAGUACAGCCUUCACCGACACAUGAUUCAUCUGUUCACUCAUUAGUUGUUGCACCAUCCUCUGAUCUUGAUCCGUCUAUUGCUACUUGGAAAGGUACACGCUCUUGUAUUGGUUAUCAUGUGGAUCGUUAUGCUCCUUAUUCUGGUCUUUAUAUUUGUCUUAGUACUCAUCAUCCUAUUUUCAAUUUUUUGUCAUAUGAUCGUUUAUCUCCUAUCGUCUCUACCUUUGUCUUGUUCUUGUCCUCUAUUACUGUGCCUAGUGAUUUUGUUGAAGCUCUUGCUCAUCUUGGAUGGUGGCAAGCCAUGGAGGAUAAAUGAAGGCGCUCAUCAAUAAACCGCACUUGAUAGCUCACUUCCUUACCUGUGGGGAAGCAAUCUGUGAGUUGUCGUUGGGUUUUCACUGUUAAGGUUUACCCUGAUGUCACUCUUGAUCGAUUGAAGGCUCGGUUGGCUGCAAAAUGAUAUACUCAAACGUAUGUUGUUGAUUGUGAUGACACUUUCUCACCUGUGACCAAAA
Syzygium oleosum is the source of this 3532-nucleotide long non-coding RNA. RefSeq lists it as uncharacterized. The transcript is spliced from 2 exons. NCBI's taxonomy places the organism in Eukaryota, Viridiplantae, Streptophyta, Magnoliopsida, Myrtales, Myrtaceae. The record is from RefSeq and is a predicted model, not a curated record.